This 253-nucleotide ribosomal RNA is filed under the name uncultured bacterium. RNAcentral's name for it is "partial 16S ribosomal RNA". It matches the Rfam family "Bacterial small subunit ribosomal RNA", at positions 524 to 776 of the family's 1533-position model. The record is from RNAcentral.
UACGAAGGUGGCAAGCGUUGUUCGGAUUUACUGGGCGUAAAGGGAGCGUAGGUGGUUAGGUAAGCCCUCCGGGAAAUCUUCAGGCUUAACCUGAAAAGGUCGGGGGGGACUGCCUGGCUAGAGGACGGGAGAGGAGCGCGGAAUUCCCGGUGUAGCGGUGAAAUGCGUAGAGAUCGGGAGGAAGGCCGGUGGCGAAGGCGGCGCUCUGGAACGUUUCUGACACUGAGGCUCGAAAGCGUGGGGAGCGAACAGG